RNAcentral lists this non-coding RNA (88 nucleotides) under Chromera velia. The record is from RNAcentral. Lineage: Eukaryota; Chromeraceae.
AGAAAAAAAAUUAGAAAGAAAGAAUAUAUCUGUCACAUCUGUCUGACUCUCUCGUACUCCUUUCGUCAGUCUACUUUCCAUUCUUCUU